This 503-nucleotide ribosomal RNA is filed under the name Streptococcus sp. RNAcentral's name for it is "bacterial SSU rRNA". It matches the Rfam family "Bacterial small subunit ribosomal RNA", at positions 1 to 488 of the family's 1533-position model. The record is from RNAcentral. Lineage: Bacteria; Bacillati; Bacillota; Bacilli; Lactobacillales; Streptococcaceae.
UUUAAUGAGAGUUUGAUCCUGGCUCAGGACGAACGCUGGCGGCGUGCCUAAUACAUGCAAGUAGAACGCUGAAGGAGGAGCUUGCUUCUCCGGAUGAGUUGCGAACGGGUGAGUAACGCGUAGGUAACCUGCCUGGUAGCGGGGGAUAACUAUUGGAAACGAUAGCUAAUACCGCAUAAGAGUAGAUGUUGCAUGACAUUUGCUUAAAAGGUGCAAUUGCAUCACUACCAGAUGGACCUGCGUUGUAUUAGCUAGUUGGUGGGGUAACGGCUCACCAAGGCGACGAUACAUAGCCGACCUGAGAGGGUGAUCGGCCACACUGGGACUGAGACACGGCCCAGACUCCUACGGGAGGCAGCAGUAGGGAAUCUUCGGCAAUGGACGGAAGUCUGACCGAGCAACGCCGCGUGAGUGAAGAAGGUUUUCGGAUCGUAAAGCUCUGUUGUAAGAGAAGAACGAGUGUGAGAGUGGAAAGUUCACACUGUGACGGUAUCUUACCAGAA